RNAcentral lists this ribosomal RNA (301 nucleotides) under uncultured bacterium. RNAcentral describes it as "partial 16S ribosomal RNA". It matches the Rfam family "Bacterial small subunit ribosomal RNA", at positions 509 to 807 of the family's 1533-position model. The record is from RNAcentral.
CAGCCGCCACGGGAAUACAGAGGGUGCAAGCGUUAAUCGGAAUUACUGGGCGUAAAGCGCGCGUAGGUGGUUUGUUAAGUUGGAUGUGAAAUCCCCGGGCUCAACCUGGGAACUGCAUCCAAAACUGGCAGGCUAGAGUAGGGCAGAGGGUGGUGGAAUUUCCUGUGUAGCGGUGAAAUGCGUAGAUAUAGGAAGGAACACCAGUGGCGAAGGCGACCACCUGGGCUCAUACUGACACUGAGGUGCGAAAGCGUGGGGAGCAAACAGGAUUAGAUACCCGAGUAGUCCCUGUCUCUUAUAC